RNAcentral lists this non-coding RNA (30 nucleotides) under Homo sapiens (human). The record is from RNAcentral. Lineage: Eukaryota; Metazoa; Chordata; Mammalia; Primates; Hominidae.
UNCCACACUGAGAAUAAGUAGCUGCUGCUC